GAUGAACGCUGGCGGCGUGCUUAACACAUGCAAGUCGAACGAAGCAUUUCCUUUUCUUCGGAAAAGGAAAUGACUGAGUGGCGGACGGGUGAGUAACGCGUGGGUAACCUGCCUCAUACAGGGGGAUAACAGCUGGAAACGGCUGCUAAUACCGCAUAAGCGCACAAUGCUGCAUGACAUAGUGUGAAAAACUCUGGUGGUAUGAGAUGGACCCGCGUCUGAUUAGCUAGUUGGUAAGGUAAUGGCUUACCAAGGCGACGAUCAGUCGCCGACCUGAGAGGAGGACCGGCCACAUUGGGACUGAGACGCGGCCCAAACUCCUACGGGAGGCAGCAGUGGGGAAUAUUGCACAAUGGGCGAAAGCCGGAUGCAGCGACGCCGCGUGAGCGAAGAAGUAUUUCGGUAUGUAAAGCUCUAUCAGCAGGGAAGAAAAAAAUGACGGUACCUGACUAAGAAGCACCGGCUAAAUACGUGCCAGCAGCCGCCGUAA
This 490-nucleotide ribosomal RNA is filed under the name uncultured bacterium. RNAcentral describes it as "partial 16S ribosomal RNA". It matches the Rfam family "Bacterial small subunit ribosomal RNA", at positions 28 to 523 of the family's 1533-position model. The record is from RNAcentral.